Molecule: non-coding RNA, 72 nt
Organism: Phrynosoma platyrhinos (Desert horned lizard)
Lineage: Eukaryota; Metazoa; Chordata; Lepidosauria; Squamata; Phrynosomatidae
Source: the annotation of a GenBank genome assembly
GCUAGUGUGAUAUAGUGGUUUGAGUGUUAGACUACCGCUCUGGAGAUCAGGGUUCAAUUCCUUGCUCAAGCA